This is a long non-coding RNA of Rhinopithecus roxellana (golden snub-nosed monkey), 1263 nucleotides long. RefSeq lists it as uncharacterized. NCBI's taxonomy places the organism in Eukaryota, Metazoa, Chordata, Mammalia, Primates, Cercopithecidae. The record is from RefSeq and is a predicted model, not a curated record. The transcript is spliced from 3 exons.
CACCGCACACAGAUCGUGCCCCACCUCCCCUCGCCGCCCGCCUGCGGCCGGAGCAGGGCCGGGCAGCCCAGAGGGCCUGAGGCCUUGCGGCCUCGCGCAGCACCCAGUGUUCUGCGUGGAGCCCAAAGCACCGGGGGUGCUUGGCAGCUUCUGGGCGGCGGGCUGGCGGGCGAGCCCACUGGCCCCAGUUCUUCAUCGGGGCACCAGCUGGUGGAGCCACCUCCUCGUCCAGUGGGCCUGCUUCCCUGAGUCACUCCAAGCGACUAUAAAAAUGAUGUCAGACAAAAAGCAAAUUUAAGCAAUUUUCUUAUUUGAGUUCCAAAUGGGUCAUAAAACAGCAGAGACAAUUUGCAACAUCAACAACACAUUUGGCUCAGGAACUGCUAAUGAAGGUACAGUGCAGUAGUGGUUCAGGAAGUUUUGCAAAGGAGAAGAGAGCCUUGAAGAUGAGGAGCAUAGUGGCUGGCCAUCAGAAGUUGACAACAACCAACUGAGAACAGUCAUUGAAGCUGAACCUCUUACAAUGACGCGAGAAGUUGCUGAAAAACUCAACAUCUACCAUUCUAUGGUUGUUUGACAUUUGAAGCAAAUUGGAGAGGUGAAGAAGCUCAGUAAGUACCCACUCAUAGGUGCCUCAUAAGCUGAGAAAAAUAAACGUCGUUUUGAAGUGUCAUCUUCUCUUAUUCUAUGCAACAACAAUGAACCACUUCUUGAACGAAUUGUGAUGUGCGACAAAAAUGAAUUUCAUAUGACAACCGAUGACGACCAGCUCAGUGGUUGGAACUAGAUUCUUCUAGCUCCAAAGCACUUCCCAAAGCCGAACUUGCACCAAAAAAGGUCAUAGUCACUGUUUGGUGGUCUCUUGCCAGUCUGAUCCACUACAACUUUCUGAAUCCCAGUGAAAUCAUUACAUCUGAGAAUUAUGCUCAGCAAAUUGAUGAGAUGCAUCAAAAACUGAGAGACCUGCAGAAAGGUCAACAGAACGGGGCCCAAUUCUUCUCCACGAUGUCGCCAGAAUGCACAUUGCACAACAAAUGCUUCCAAAAGUUGAGCAAACUGGGUUACGAAAUUCUGCCUCAUUUGCCAUAUUCCCCUGACCUCUCACCAAUCGACUACCACUUCUUCAAGGAUCUCGACAACCUUUUGCAGGAAAAUGCUUCCUCGGCCAGCAGGAUGCAGAAAAUGAUCUCCAAGAGUUCACUGAAUCCUGAAGCACGGAUUUUUAUGCUACAGGAAUAAACAAACUUAUUACUUGUUGGCAAA